This 204-nucleotide ribosomal RNA is filed under the name Bacillus spizizenii. RNAcentral's name for it is "partial 16S ribosomal RNA". It matches the Rfam family "Bacterial small subunit ribosomal RNA", at positions 1 to 205 of the family's 1533-position model. Lineage: Bacteria; Bacillati; Bacillota; Bacilli; Caryophanales; Bacillaceae. The record is from RNAcentral.
UUAUCGGAGAGUUUGAUCCUGGCUCAGGACGAACGCUGGCGGCGUGCCUAAUACAUGCAAGUCGAGCGGACAGAUGGGAGCUUGCUCCCUGAUGUUAGCGGCGGACGGGUGAGUAACACGUGGGUAACCUGCCUGUAAGACUGGGAAAACUCCUGGAAACCGGGGCUAAUACCGGAUGCAAGAUAGAAACUCAUUGUUCAAAAA